This 75-nucleotide transfer RNA is filed under the name Sulfurimonas sp. RNAcentral describes it as "tRNA-Gln". It matches the Rfam family "tRNA". Rfam says of the family: Transfer RNA (tRNA) molecules are approximately 80 nucleotides in length. RNAcentral also lists the same sequence under 2 other names. The record is from RNAcentral. Lineage: Bacteria; Pseudomonadati; Campylobacterota; Epsilonproteobacteria; Campylobacterales; Sulfurimonadaceae.
UGGGGAUUCGCCAAGUGGUAAGGCAGUAGCUUUUGGUGCUACCAUUCAUAGGUUCGAAUCCUAUAUCCCCAUCCA